AUACGGAGGGUGCGAGCGUUAUCCGGAUUCACUGGGUUUAAAGGGUGCGUAGGUGGGUAUGUAAGUCAGUGGUGAAAUCCCCAGGCUUAACCUGGGAACUGCCGUUGAUACUAUAUAUCUUGAAUGCCGUAGAGGUAAGCGGAAUAUGUCAUGUAGCGGUGAAAUGCUUAGAGAUGACAUAGAACACCAAUUGCGAGGGCAGCUUACUAUGCGGUUAUUGACACUGAGGCACGAAAGCGUGGGUAGCAAACAGGAUUAGCUACCCUGGUAGUCCACGCCCUAAACUAUGGAUACUCGACAUACGCGAUACACUGUGUGUGUCUGAGCGAAAGCAUUAAGUAUCCCACCUGGGAAGUACGACCGCAAGGUUGAA
This 373-nucleotide ribosomal RNA is filed under the name uncultured bacterium. RNAcentral describes it as "bacterial SSU rRNA". It matches the Rfam family "Bacterial small subunit ribosomal RNA", at positions 523 to 898 of the family's 1533-position model. The record is from RNAcentral.